AAAGCUAGUAGCAUUGUGCCUUAUUUAGAUAUGUUGUGAAGGACCGUAACAACAAAAAGUUGAACUCUAGCAGAACAGUAUAAAUGAGCCUUUAAGGCUUGUGCAGUAGAAAGGCAGCAAAAAUGAUACAGCUAAGACAACAGGAGAAGCAACUAGAAUUCCAACAGNACUGUAGGAUACUAUAAGGAUGGGGAAGAUGCAGCCAUUUCUUGAAUACAAAAAAAAACCUUGCAGAGUUGAAGUUGCUUGAAUUUAGUAAAGGAUUUUAGUGUGUGAAAGCUGUGUUUAAGCAAAAACACUAAUGCUUUAGUUAGGAAAAAUUGAUCGAUGUUCUGGAUAAUAUUGUGAAAUACCAGGACAUGUUAAUUGUUUUUUUUUUUUUUGUUUUGUUUUUUUUGAAGCUGAGCUGAGUGCUUAAAGAAUUAUCUUGGAGACAAAGUUAUAGAAGUUUUCGCUGGGAUGAGGUGGUGCUUGGUCAAAAAAUCCAGUAUCAAGGAGUUAGUGUGACCUGCUUGGUGACGUGUUCAUUUUGCACCCAGACUGUUAUCGCUUUGGCUAAUAGAUGUGGUGUGUUUUCUGUCUUAGUGAGCUGGUAUAACUAUCUAGAAAAAUUGACUGCUCCUAAACAUUUAUCCUAUUAUUGUGUAAAAUAAUCAUCGGCCUUUUAGAAAACUUGAGUACAAUUGUAGUCAACAAGAAAAAUCUAGUCAUACUGAUCUAAUUUUGUCUUGUAAUGCUUAUAGCUCCAAAUACCUUGUACUUGUAUCCUUAGUUCCAUUUUGAAGCCCCCCCUGGGGCUUUACCUAGUCAUUGGCCUCACAGGAGGGUAAGAAAGAAGAACAGAAAUCUGUCCCGUGAUGUAUUUUAUACUUCUGCCUGGAAAAGUUUUAUGGGGAAUUUUUCUCAAUACCUACAGCAGUGGGACCAUUGUUCUACAGCCUACCCUACAUUACACUGAAUAGAAACAUUUUGUCAUUCUUGUUGUCACUUAGAUGUAUUUUUAUAUUCUGACGUUGCUGUGGACUUUCAUCUGUUCGACAUCUAGAGCUUGCUGCUAAUGCAUAUAUAUAUUUGCUCUUCAAGUUUUUCCAGAUCUGUCAUUUACAAAAUGCAUCUGCUUUUGCACCAGCAAAGUACACAGUUGGUGCUCUCCAAUUAACUAAGGCAUGAUUUAAAAGAAUUUUGAUUAACAUCCAGUGUUUUCAUUAUGUUUUGGCAUAUUUUGAUUUGACAGUUUAAAAGCUCUAGCUCAGUACUUCCUUUGUGCAGUUUGGUGGCAUUUUUCUCCACCAACAAAAUUUAUAAAAACUGUAGAGUCCUGCUCCAUUUCAGGGUCCUCUGAAGUAUAGGUCUACUGGAUACAUAAUGUAUUCUGAGAAUUAGCAAACUUAAUUAGACAGCCUCUUAUUAGGAACCAAGAGCUUCCUAACAUCAUCUUAUACAGCCACAUUAUGCAAAGCCAGGUGGUUUUAGGCUCAGGUGUCCUUUUUGGGUACAGGUUCCUCCUACAUAGUUGAUUUGAUUGGAUUAAGGGCUGUUCCAGUCACAGCAGGAAUGUCCCUUUCAGGGUUGAAUAUUUAAGGCUGUGAGGCAGUGUUGUUUGUCUGCAGGUUGUUGGCUUUCUUCAGACCAUUUUCCUCAAGUGUGCCAUGUAUUGAUGCUAUGAUAGGCUGAAGGUAUCCUAGCAUUUUAAUUUUAUUUUUUUUUACUGUGAACUACAAAUGUCUUAUGUCUACAGUUUGNAGAUUAAGCAAAGCUGUAUGACCAGUGCUAUCUCAGGAGGAUGCUGAGUCAUUAACUCAUGUUUAUUGCCUCUUGCCAUCUUUAGAUUAUUGCAAUUU
This 1841-nucleotide long non-coding RNA is filed under the name Pavo cristatus (Indian peafowl). Its description in RNAcentral is "lncRNA (ENSPSTG00000015733.1)". The record is from RNAcentral. Lineage: Eukaryota; Metazoa; Chordata; Aves; Galliformes; Phasianidae.